GAUUUAUAAAGAAGGGUGGAGAGAUUAGGCUCAUGGAAACCCUGGCAACCUGCUGCAAGGAAAAGGUGCCAAUACCUAACCCGCUCAAAAUGAGUAGGAAAUGAUAAAUU
RNAcentral lists this non-coding RNA (110 nucleotides) under Bacteroidota bacterium. RNAcentral's name for it is "Bacteroidetes bacterium SAM-I sequence". It matches the Rfam family "SAM riboswitch aptamer (S box leader)". From Rfam's summary of the family: The SAM riboswitch is found upstream of a number of genes which code for proteins involved in methionine or cysteine biosynthesis in Gram-positive bacteria. Lineage: Bacteria; Pseudomonadati; Bacteroidota. The record is from RNAcentral.